This 301-nucleotide ribosomal RNA is filed under the name uncultured bacterium. RNAcentral's name for it is "partial 16S ribosomal RNA". It matches the Rfam family "Bacterial small subunit ribosomal RNA", at positions 509 to 807 of the family's 1533-position model. The record is from RNAcentral.
CAGUCGCCGCGGGAAUACGUAGGUGGCAAGCGUUGUCCGGAAUUAUUGGGCGUAAAGGGCUCGCAGGCGGUUUCUUAAGUCUGAUGUGAAAGCCCCCGGCUCAACCGGGGAGGGUCAUUGGAAACUGGGAAACUUGAGUGCAGAAGAGGAGAGUGGAAUUCCACGUGUAGCGGUGAAAUGCGUAGAGAUGUGGAGGAACACCAGUGGCGAAGGCGACUCUCUGGUCUGUGACUGACGCUGAGGAGCGAAAGCGUGGGGAGCGAACAGGAUUAGAUACCUCAGUAGUCCCUGUCUCUUAUAC